UUCNNUGGGGGCACCCUGAUGGAGCAAUACCGCGUGCAGGAAGACGCUUUUCGGAGUGUAAACUGCUUUUAUUUGGGAAGAUUAUGACGGUACCAAAUGAAUAAGGAUCGGCUAACUACGUGCCAGCAGCCGCGGUAAUACGUAGGAUCCGAGCGUUAUCCGGAAUUACUGGGCGUAAAGCGUGAGCAGGUGGCACAUCAGGUCAGAUGCGAAAUCUUGCGGCUCAACCGUAAGACUGUGUCUGAAACCGAUGAGCUUGAGGUCGGUAGAGGCAAGCGGAAUUUGUAGUGUAGCAGUGAAAUGCGUAGAUAUUACAAGGAACACCAAUGGCGAAGGCAGCUUGCUGGGCCGCACCUGACACUCAGUCACGAAAGCGUGGGGAGCGAACGGGAUUAGAUACCCCGGUAGUCCACGCCGUAAACGAUGGAUGCUACCCGUGUGGGGUCUCGACCCUUUGCGCGGGGAAGCUAACGCGAUAAGCAUCCCGCCUGGGGGGUACGAGCGCAAGCUUAAAACUCAAAAAAAUUGACGGA
This 533-nucleotide ribosomal RNA is filed under the name uncultured bacterium. RNAcentral describes it as "bacterial SSU rRNA". It matches the Rfam family "Bacterial small subunit ribosomal RNA", at positions 367 to 917 of the family's 1533-position model. The record is from RNAcentral.